GGGGGUUAGGACAAAAUGAUCAAAUUUAUAGUAGAUCUGAAAAAAGUGCAAACAAAUGCAGUGCUUUAAGCAAAAGAUGUCAUAUUCUUAAACUCAGUUAUGUCAUGCCAUUUUUUUUUUUAAUUACUCGGUAGCUUUUUUGGGCCCCUGAUCUCUUUUUCCUGUGAGCGUUAAGAGAGACACCGCUUCAGCUCCAUGCGUGAGGUUACAGGGAAACGUACCCUCCCUGGGCCCCAGACAGGGGGGUUUUGGAGCCCACUUCCUUCCAUUUUCUUUCACUGGCUUCUCCAGGCAGAGCCAGACAUGGCUUAAAAUGCGUUUCCAUCCCAGACUGGCUCUGUGACCUCAGCCAACCUCUCUGCAUGUUCUUUUUCUCACCUGGAGGGUGAUGGACAGAUAAUCCUUGAAAUGCCCUUCCAGCGCUCACAUUUUAGGAGUCUGCCUUCCCCACAGAUACUCAGAUUCCUGAGGGAGCAAAACUUCUUACUGGGUCACUUGAUAACUCCAGCUUUUACUGAUCUCUUAUCUGCUUUUGUUUUGUUUAGUUCUCCUUUCCCAUUUAUGGUAUUUUUUUAUACUGCAAAAUUCGCACCUUCCUAUCACUGCUUCGUGCUAAUGCUUUAUGAUGUCCAUAUAUGUGCAGACCCACAUAUGCUUACCCACACACACUUCUAACACUGCCUUGUUCUACAUCUAGGUAUGACUUGCCUCACUGCGAUGGCAGAGGAUGAGUCAUUUAGUUCUCUUCCUCCAUCUAGCGCUUCGCACAUUAUCAACGCAAAGCAAAAGGCAGAAGGUCAACAAAAGAAACAUGAUACUCAAUGCAAAGAAAGGAUUCAUUAAGUACCUGCUUUCGAUGGGGCAUCAUGAAGACAUGUGAGCCGCCGUGAGAUUUCAAAUGAAAGAAAAGAUCAAGCAAGUAGCAUAGGUAAACUUGAGGAGUUAAAUAAAUGUUGAACUUGGUAGUGUUCCAUUGUUGGUGUUGAUCUUUCACGGGACCAGGAAUUGGUCAUUUCUAAGCCAUCAUUUCCUUUGCCGUUUGUCCACUUAGCAUGUGACCAUGAAGCUAUCAGCUGCACGGGGCAGGGGCCGCCCUGUCCCGCCCAUCCUCUGGGUCACCAGCACCCACCAUGGUGCCUGGCAUACAGUGGCUCAAUAGUUGUUGAGGCACUAAAACCAGACAAGUCACUUAACUGUUAUAUGCCUCCCUCGGUUUUCUCAUUUACAAAAUGGAAAUACUAGCAACCUCAUGAGAUCAGUAAGAUGAACACACAGAAUUAGGAUUUGAACAUUAAAAAGCAUUACACAAAGGCAUUUUAAUACUGGUAUAUCUACUAAAUAUGUUGGUUUACAUGGCAGGCUUCAGCCUCCCCUUUUGCUUUCAUUUUUCUUUUUGGCAUAAGUACAGUUAGUCCUUAAUCCUCUCAGACUGAUAAAUGAAUGUGCUUCCCCCAAAUAUCAGAAACCAAGAAUUGGCUAAAGUGCUGGAAUAAGUCUCAGGCUAGGAAAUAAAUGAGUUUAGAAUCCUCCAAAGGGAGGGAAAAAAGAAGCUUCUGAGUCAUAUGGUUAAACAAUGAAGAAUAGCCCCAUCAUCAUGAGCAAAUGUUUUCGGCGUUAGAUAUUUCAUGACCAUAUGAAGGCAAGGCCCCGUCUGGUCUCUUCCAAAUACUGUCUCCUAAUAACAAAUUCCACUGGCCCCCAAAAGAGGCACUCAGGGAGAUGAGGGGAAAUUAAAGAACAGCAUUGUUGGACCCUAUGUGCCUCUAAUUAAAUAAUGCCAUACCCAACCUUCCUGGCUGAAUCAGCCAUGUGAUUGGUGUUCUCAUGGACACAGUUUCCUUGGAGAUUUGUAACAAUGUCCCUGGUACCAAGCCAAUGGAGGUACUCAGCCCAUGACUAGCAUUUAAUCAAGGUCAUGGGAAAUUAUAUCAGGCCACGGGGGAUAGAAAACUAGAAGAGGUAAAUAAAAUGCACGGAAAACUGUCUAAUGCUUUUAAAAUGUGUUUCCUUGACUUCGUUUACAGAUCAUUCAAUACAUAAAGACAAGCGCAUGCCGAAUAGUUUUCCAACAACAUCUCACUUAAUGCUCAGAACCCUGCAAGCUGUUUUCAUUUCCAACCUAAGGAAACAAAGAGAUGGAAGAAAAUGUGGUACUUGGAUGGAGUGAGAACUGCCAGACCCGAGAGCCUGGGAAUAAGGUCAUAGGUCAAUUUUCCUGGGAGAGCUGCAACAAGGCUGUCUGCCCUAGUUUCUUCUCUACAACAAAGGAGAAGCAGCAUGAAAGUAACCAACGUUUGUUGAAUACGUCAGUGUAAGCAUGAACCACUGGAUACAGACCUACCAAGAAGAGAAGAAGAAUAAGCCAAGAAAAAAAGUGCAGUCCAUGGAGAUCCAGAGACCUGAGGAUGAGUUACAAUGGUGUUGCUCUAGGUGAAAAUAUGAAGAUGUGAGACUCACUCAGAGGAUAUGAAGGACUUCUCAAAUGGAUGAAAGAAAGGUGUUCUAGUGAAGAUACUGUUUUGAUAGAAAUUUUUAACCACGUAGAAAAGGGCUGCAUGCCUCAUUUGACUAAAACUAGUGCAUCUCAUGAAUUCUUGACUUGUCAAUAAAUAUUAAAAGACUGUUUGUCAACAGACAAAAGGAAGUGGUGAUUACUAGAACAAGUGAAGACAGACUAACCCAUUUCCUUCACGCAGACAUACUAGAUUGGCAGAUUAGAAGGCUGUGGGAGACAUCCUGUAUCUAGAUUUUAGCAAGGCAAUUAUUAAAGUUUUACAUGCUUUUGACUGACACACGGAAGAAAUUUAGAUUGGUUGAUAAUGCA
Molecule: non-coding RNA, 2824 nt
Organism: Callorhinus ursinus (northern fur seal)
Lineage: Eukaryota; Metazoa; Chordata; Mammalia; Carnivora; Otariidae
Source: RefSeq, a predicted model, not a curated record